AGUGGCGGACGGGUGAGUAACGCGUGAGAAUCUGCCUUCAGGACGGGGACAACAGUUGGAAACGACUGCUAAUACCCGAUAUGCCGAGAGGUGAAAUGUUUUUUCGCCUGAAAAUGACCUCGCGUCUGAUUACCUAGUUGGGGGUGUAACGGACCACCAAGGCGACGAUCAGUAGCUGGUCUGAAAGGAUGAGCAGCCACACUGGGACUGAGACACGGCCCAAACUCCUACGGGAGGCAGCAGUGGGGAAUUUUCCGCAAUGGGCGAAAGCCUGACGGAGCAAUACCGCGUGAGGGAGGAAGGUCUUUGGAUUGUAAACCUCUUUUCUCAAGGAAGAAGUUCUGACGGUACUUGAGGAAUAAGCACCGGCUAACUCCGUGCCAGCAGCCGCGGUAAUACGGAGGGUGCAAGCGUUAUCCGGAAUUAUUGGGCGUAAAGAGUCCGUAGGUGGUCAUGCAAGUCUGCUGUCAAAGCCCACAGCUCAACUGUGGAUCGGCGGUGGACACUGCAUGACUUGAGUACGGUAGGGGUAGAGGGAAUUCCC
RNAcentral lists this ribosomal RNA (544 nucleotides) under cyanobacterium AUcy3. Its description in RNAcentral is "bacterial SSU rRNA". It matches the Rfam family "Bacterial small subunit ribosomal RNA", at positions 94 to 671 of the family's 1533-position model. Lineage: Bacteria; Bacillati; Cyanobacteriota. The record is from RNAcentral.